Molecule: ribosomal RNA, 505 nt
Filed under: uncultured bacterium
Lineage: Bacteria
Description: bacterial SSU rRNA
Rfam family: Bacterial small subunit ribosomal RNA
Source: RNAcentral
CUACGUGCCAGCAGCCGCGGUAAUACGGAAGGUCCAGGCGUUAUCCGGAUUUAUUGGGUUUAAAGGGAGCGUAGGCUGGAGAUUAAGUGUGUUGUGAAAUGUAGACGCUCAACGUCUGAAUUGCAGCGCAUACUGGUUUCCUUGAGUACGCACAACGUUGGCGGAAUUCGUCGUGUAGCGGUGAAAUGCUUAGAUAUGACGAAGAACUCCGAUUGCGAAGGCAGCUGACGGGAGCGCAACUGACGCUUAAGCUCGAAGGUGCGGGUAUCAAACAGGAUUAGNUACCCUGGUAGUCCGCACAGUAAACGAUGGAUGCCCGCUGUUGGUACCUGGUAUCAGCGGCUAAGCGAAAGCAUUAAGCAUCCCACCUGGGGAGUACGCCGGCAACGGUGAAACUCAAAGGAAUUGACGGGGGCCCGCACAAGCGGAGGAACAUGUGGUUUAAUUCGAUGAUACGCGAGGAACCUUACCCGGGCUUGAAUUGCAGAGGAAGGAUUUAGAGAUA